GUCUGGCUAGCUCAGUUGGUAGAGCACUGGACUCCUGAUCUCAGGGCUUGUGAGUUCAAGCCCCAUGUUGGGUG
This 74-nucleotide transfer RNA is filed under the name Felis catus (domestic cat). It matches the Rfam family "tRNA". Rfam says of the family: Transfer RNA (tRNA) molecules are approximately 80 nucleotides in length. Their secondary structure includes four short double-helical elements and three loops (D, anti-codon, and T loops). The record is from Rfam by way of RNAcentral. Lineage: Eukaryota; Metazoa; Chordata; Mammalia; Carnivora; Felidae. RNAcentral also lists the same sequence under 2 other names.